UGGCGGACGGGUGAGUAACGCGUGGAAAACCUGCCGUAUACUGGGGGAUAACACUUAGAAAUAGGUGCUAAUACCGCAUAAGCGCGCAGCUUCGCAUGAAGCGGUGUGAAAAACUCUGGUGGUAUACGAUGGUUCCGCGUCUGAUUAGCUAGUUGGUGGGGUAAUGGCCUACCAAGGCAACGAUCAGUAGCCGGCCUGAGAGGGUGAACGGCCACAUUGGGACUGAGACACGGCCCAAACUCCUACGGGAGGCAGCAG
This 258-nucleotide ribosomal RNA is filed under the name uncultured bacterium. Its description in RNAcentral is "partial 16S ribosomal RNA". It matches the Rfam family "Bacterial small subunit ribosomal RNA", at positions 96 to 354 of the family's 1533-position model. The record is from RNAcentral.